GUGCUCGCUUCAGUAGCACAUAUACUAACAUUGGAAUGAUACAGAGAAGAUUAGCAUGGCUCCUGCGCAAGGAUGACAUGCAAAUUCAUGAAGCAUUCCAUAAAAAA
Molecule: small nuclear RNA, 107 nt
Filed under: Canis lupus familiaris (dog)
Lineage: Eukaryota; Metazoa; Chordata; Mammalia; Carnivora; Canidae
Also listed under: 1 other name
Source: RNAcentral